UUACUUACCUGGACGGGGUCAAUAGGCGAUCAAUAAGACCUAUGGCCUAUGCUAGUGACCUCCAUUGCACUUUGGAGGGGCGCCCGCGUAAGGUCGGCCCAAGAGGUCGAGCCUGUGUCAUAAUUUGUGAUAGUGGGGGCCUGUGUUCGCGCGGCCCCUGU
Erythranthe guttata (spotted monkey flower) is the source of this 161-nucleotide non-coding RNA. Lineage: Eukaryota; Viridiplantae; Streptophyta; Magnoliopsida; Lamiales; Phrymaceae. The record is from Rfam.